UGAAGGUUCAAUACAUUAUCCGUCAUUAUGAAGCUAAUCAAUUUAGUCUGUUAGCGCAUCAUUUAAGAAAGACCUCUGCAUCAUGGCAUUGUGAGUUUUUGGAGCAUACAGUGAUAGAAUCAGUUUUAUUUUUAGUUCCACUCUAUGCUAACAUUUAGCAAAUCGGAUGGAUUAUGUUGAACAUUUAUAGGUAUUGGUACACUGCCUUAUGUCAAAUCCUUGUUUUCUCAGUUCAUAUGAAUUCGACAUGUAAAUGAUAUUUUCUUCUUUUUGAUGGCUUAGUCGAGGUUUUGAAUGAUGGGAUAAGUUUGAAUUACAUGAGGCAGGUAUCUCUAGAGAUUGCUUCAUAGUAACAGUG
Molecule: long non-coding RNA, 358 nt
Filed under: Phoenix dactylifera (date palm)
Lineage: Eukaryota; Viridiplantae; Streptophyta; Magnoliopsida; Arecales; Arecaceae
Description: long non-coding RNA (PDAC_LNC005824)
Source: RNAcentral